This is a long non-coding RNA of Danaus plexippus (monarch butterfly), 1167 nucleotides long. RefSeq lists it as uncharacterized. NCBI's taxonomy places the organism in Eukaryota, Metazoa, Arthropoda, Insecta, Lepidoptera, Nymphalidae. The transcript has 2 exons. The record is from RefSeq and is a predicted model, not a curated record.
UUUUAAACUAACUACCAAUACUUGAUUGUUUUUAUUUCCGAUAAACUUUUUAAAAUAAACGCUGACUCACCAGUUCUCGUUUCUCGUCCAGAAUUUUCCUUAGAAGUGGUAGAGCGCAUACCCAUGGCUAAAAAUGAUAGGCUACCUUUUUUUACCUAGACAUUCGAGAUCGGCUCUCUCACUAUUUAUCGUAUCUUAAUCUGAAGGAGAUGCAACCCUACUUUAUCAAAAAAUACUUUGAAGCAUGGCACAAUGGAUUCUACGGUGUGAUCAUACAAGCAGCCCCGGAUGAGCAACUGAUGAAGGCAAACUCUCUGUCUGUCUCUUCGACGCAGAACAGGUGACAGUCCUCAGAGUCCGCUCUUUAAUAUAAAGAAUAGUUUUAUAUUUAAUACUUCAUUAAAAAUCAAAAAUAUUUUUUUUUACUUAGUAGUAGGGUGAAAGCAGUGACUAACUCAUUAGAAUACUCUAGGUAGAAUUUUCAUUUCAUCUUAUAUUCUCUUACGACUCGGAAAACCGUUGGAACUAAAGAAUUUUUUUGCAAAGUUAAGAAAAAGUAAGCUUUGAAAUGUGUAAUAAUAAUAAUUUGAAUGUAAAGUUAUCGCUAAUUUUCCUAGCGAGAUCCAUGAUAAUGUCAGUCAGGACAUCCCCUACGCAUUAUUUUCCGUUUGUUAUCAGAUAAUGUAUUUAUAUAAAUACCAAAAUUUAAUCUGAACGAUUAAACUAAGAAGCUACAAAACAAGUAGUCAACAUGAAAACAAUGAUUUCUUUCUUUUUUGCCAUGACGGUGGCUCUGCUGAUGGCACAGAGCGUAGUUUCCGAGCAAAAUCAACAACCUGACGUGUUGGACUUGGAGUAUCCAGCUUUAUUUCGGCAGGCAGCUAGCGAUAUCUCUCCACCGAUUGUACGAUCUUGUAACCAUGGCCAAUGUCAGCGUCUGUGCAUAAAUAUGGGAUAUAGAUAUGGAUACUGCAUGUCCAUUACUACUUGUCGCUGUUUCCGUUGAAUACGAUAUUUUAGUCGCCACAAAAAGUCAUUGAACUUAGGGACAUUGUUAUAAGUAAUUCAUAAUGUAAAAAAUUGUUACUUUAUUUUUUGUAUAAUGUUUGUUUUUCUGAAUCUUGGAAGUCUGCAAUAAACAAAAUUAAUAAAAAAAUAUGAAAUGCU